This 573-nucleotide ribosomal RNA is filed under the name Borreliella garinii. RNAcentral's name for it is "bacterial SSU rRNA". It matches the Rfam family "Bacterial small subunit ribosomal RNA", at positions 94 to 653 of the family's 1533-position model. Lineage: Bacteria; Pseudomonadati; Spirochaetota; Spirochaetia; Spirochaetales; Borreliaceae. The record is from RNAcentral.
AGUGGCGAACGGGUGAGUAACGCGUGGAUGAUCUACCUACGAGAUGGGGAUAACUAUUAGAAAUAGUAGCUAAUACCGAAUAAGGUCAAUUAAUUUGUUAAUUGAUGAAAGGAAGCCUUUAAAGCUUCGCUUGUAGAUGAGUCUGCGUCUUAUUAGUUAGUUGGUAGGGUAAAUGCCUACCAAGGCGAUGAUAAGUAACCGGCCUGAGAGGGUGAACGGUCACACUGGAACUGAGAUACGGUCCAGACUCCUACGGGAGGCAGCAGCUAAGAAUCUUCCGCAAUGGGCGAAAGCCUGACGGAGCGACACUGCGUGAAUGAAGAAGGUCGAAAGAUUGUAAAAUUCUUUUAUAAAUGAGGAAUAAGCUUUGUAGGAAAUGACGAAGUGAUGACGUUAAUUUAUGAAUAAGCCCCGGCUAAUUACGUGCCAGCAGCCGCGGUAAUACGUAAGGGGCGAGCGUUGUUCGGGAUUAUUGGGCGUAAAGGGUGAGUAGGCGGAUAUAUAAGUCUAUGCAUAAAAUACCACAGCUCAACUGUGGAACUAUGUUGGAAACUAUAUGUCUAGAGUCUGAUA